This 499-nucleotide ribosomal RNA is filed under the name uncultured Glomeromycotina. Its description in RNAcentral is "partial small subunit ribosomal RNA". It matches the Rfam family "Eukaryotic small subunit ribosomal RNA", at positions 591 to 1092 of the family's 1831-position model. The record is from RNAcentral. Lineage: Eukaryota; Fungi; Glomeromycota.
CCAAUAGCGUAUAUUAAAGUUGCUGCAGUUAAAAAGCUCGUAGUUGAAUUUCGGGACCAUCAUGUCGGUCGUGCCUCGGUACGUACUGGCAUUGUUGGUUUCUCCCUUCUGACGAACCAUGAUGUCAUUUAUUUGGUGUUGUGGGGAAUCAGGACUGUUACUUUGAAAAAAUUAGAGUGUUUAAAGCAGGCUCACGCUUGAAUACAUUAGCAUGGAAUAAUGAAAUAGGACGUUUGAUUCUAUUUUGUUGGUUUCUAGGAUCGACGUAAUGAUUAAUAGGGAUAGUUGGGGGCAUUAGUAGUCAAUUGUCAGAGGUGAAAUUCUUGGAUUUAUUGAAGACUAACUACUGCGAAAGCAUUUGCCAAGGAUGUUUUCAUUAAUCAAGAACGAAAGUUAGGGGAUCGAAGACGAUCAGAUACCGUCGUAGUCUUAACCAUAAACUAUGCCGACUAGGGAUCGGAUGAUGUUAAUUUUUUAAUGACUCAUUCGGCGCCUUACG